Molecule: ribosomal RNA, 250 nt
Filed under: uncultured prokaryote
Description: partial 16S ribosomal RNA
Rfam family: Bacterial small subunit ribosomal RNA
Source: RNAcentral
UACGUAGGUGGCGAGCGUUAUCCGGAUUUACUGGGUGUAAAGGGUGUGUAGGCGGGUCGGCAAGUCGGAUGUGAAAAUCAAGGGCUCAACUCUUGACCUGCGUCCGAAACUGUCGGUCUUGAGUGCCGGAGGGGUAAACGGAAUUCCCGGUGUAGCGGUGAAAUGCGUAGAUAUCGGGAGGAACAUCGGCGGCGAAGGCGGUUUACUGGACGGCAACUGACGCUGAGACACGAAAGCGUGGGGAGCAAAC